This 13230-nucleotide long non-coding RNA is filed under the name Marmota monax (woodchuck). The record is from RNAcentral. Lineage: Eukaryota; Metazoa; Chordata; Mammalia; Rodentia; Sciuridae.
CGCCGCCGCCGCCCCCCCUCCUGCUGUUCCAGCUGCCGCCGCCGCCGCCGCCGCUUCCUGGGCUGAGUCUGCCUGCGGUCCCAGCGGCGCCAGGUGCGUUCAUCCUGCCGGUCUUCUGCCAGCGUCCGCCGCUGCUGUAGCUGCCCCAGGCUCCCCACACCGCUUCCGAGAUGGCGACGCGCUCCUGCCGGGAGAAGGCUCAGAAGCUAAAUGAGCAGCACCAGCUCAUCCUGUCGAAACUGCUGAGGGAGGAGGACAACAAGUACUGCGCCGACUGCGAGGCCAAAGGUAGCGCAGACGGCGCCGCCGCCCUGUAGGGGCCUCCUGCGACCGGUGACCUUCCCGCAGCCGCUGCGCCUCGGCUGAGCUGCCGGGCCGGCCUUAAAGCCAGGGCUGAUGGAUGGGUGGGCGCGGGGCUCCCAGUGACCGUCGCCUCCGCCAGGGGCGGCGGCGAGGUCAGGCCCACAGGCCGGUCGGUGUCCUCGGCCUCCGCUCUUCACCCGCCUGGGGCGGAGCCGGUGCCUGCGUCUCGGUGCUCCUAUCCUCCAAGGGCUGGGCUAGGGAGCGCGGAACCCGGCGUCGGCCUGGGUAGUGCUUAGGUUAAAGAAUUGCCCCGCUGCCUCUGUUCACAGCUGCCUCUGUGGGUGGGGCCGCUCUUAGGUCUUGGCCUUCUCUUCGACCCUACAGAGUGACCAUGUUCUCCUUUUGCGGGCUCUAUUGCUCGUUCUCCUAGACGGAGCCCUACCUGCUUGCCCACCUGACAGCUUUUGUACAGGGUUCUUGCUUCUGUUUCAUUAAAAAGGGCAUGGGUGUCCUUUUUGGUGGGUUGGAGCUUUCCUGAAUAACUGGGAAAGGAUCUUAAUUAAUAGUAGUAUUGCUUUUCAGUCUGGCUAUUAGCCAGGAUGAAGAGGAAUUUCAUUAUAUGAAUCGGACAGUGGGCUUACAGAUCCUGAAGGUUUUAGUGGUUAGAUUCUCUCAGACAAGCUAUUUGGGGAGAAUAUGUGGACACAGGUUUGUCAGCCUCUUAAACGUUGAAGGUGCAUUUUAAAGAACCAGAGAUGGAAAAGACCUAAUUUUAGUUUGUUCAGUUGGAGGGCUUCUGCCUGAGCCUUUGAAAUAGAUACACUAUUUUUAGCUGAUAGUUUUGUGUUUGGAGAUCUGAUUUAUACUUAAAGUCUUGUAAGUAAUCUCAUGGGGAAUAUUGUUUCAGAUUUUAACCAAACCUCUCAUGUAGUUAGAAAAAAAUGUUAAUUGUAAGUUAGUUUAUUUAAUUAUUCAGUGAGCAAUAGGUAGUUCUUUGAAGAAGGAGACAAUCAGUCUUUGGGGGUGUUGUUGAAGAUUUCUGCAUUAUUUAACCUAGACUUUUCUUGAAGAUUUACUAUUCUUUAUCAGUACUAAAUAAAUAAGUCACUGUCAGUAGACUGAUAAUAUAUGAUCAGACUGAGUCACACAGCAUCGGCAAGUUACCUCACUGUCAUAACAGGUAUUAAAUUAUUGUAAGGAUCAAGUAGGUGGGAAUAAUGUAACUAGAUCAUUUUAUGAAGCACUUUCAAUAUCUUAGUAACUUGAUUGAAUCAGCCUUGUAUUUAUCCCAUGUAACUUUUAGGUAUUGAAGUUAAAAAAACUACAUAUCUGAUUUUUUUGUAGUAAUAUUUGUUUGCUUAAUGCUUGAUUAUGUGUGUGGUUAUUUGGUGAUACUCUACUGUAUUGAGGCUCAAUUGCUUGCUUAUCACUGUACUAGUAAAACACUUAAAGACAGACUUUAAGAGAUCAGAAAAUGAAAGGAGCUGAAGUUAUAAUCAUAUUUGUCAUUUUGUGUAAUAAAUAACAUGGUUAAGUAGAGAUGUUGGUAAAUGUUAAAUCUAUUAAUAAUUGAGUAAUGAUAGCUUCAGUGAUUAACUUUUAUUUAUUGAAAUAAUUUUAGAAGUAAUUUUUAUUUAAAUUUCUUUCUAUAAAAAAGGUACUUUAUAAAAUCAGAUUUUCAUUAAUUUUUCAUGAAAGUAAUUUUGUAGGUUUUUUCAAAGCCUUUAUUAACCACACAUUAACACAUUUUCAUUUACUUUUUUGGGAAUGGAGGGAAGAAUAUCAUGUGCUACUCUUUUUUCUUUUCUUCUACUGGAGAUUCAACCCAGGGGUGCUUAACUACUGAGCCAUAUCCUCAGCCUUUUAUUAUUAUUAUUAUUAUUUUUAUUUUGAGAAGGGUCUCCCUAAAUUGUUUAGGGCCUAAGGUGAUGAGGCUGGCUUUGAACUUGGGAUUCUCCUCCCUCAGCCUCCUGAGCUGCUGGGAUUAUAGGUGUGUGCCACUGGGCUUGGUCUACACUUCUAAAAUUAGGAAAAAAAGUUUUACUUCUGACAUGAGUACAAAAUAUUUGUUCACUUUUUUUUAAUAUCAUCAUUUAUUGAUUUUUAUGUGGUGCCGAGGAUUGAACCCAGUGCCUCACACAUGGGAAGCAAGUGCUCUACCACUGAGCUAUAGCCCCAGCCCUCACUAUUUUUAUUGCCGUUAAAGUCAGUGGAAAAAAGCUGAAUGAGUAUCUUUAAUUUUGGCUUUGUUUGGUCAUUUGUUUCUUGGUUUGUUUUUGAGAAGUAGAGGAAGUUGGAGAGUAGUUUCAAGGGCUCAAGAGUGCAGAUUUCAUGGCAUGAACUCUGCAGUCAUGAUUUAGAAAGAUUUUUUUCCUUGUUGCAACUAAGUCUAGAAUGUUAAAAUGAUCUUGGAAAUUAUUUCAUUGUUUGAUCUUGAUCAGGAAAAAAUUUCAAAGAUAGGGACACUUGAAAUUAAACUCAAUUUUAUAGUUGAAAAUUUAAAUUUUAUACUCAAUUUUAUAAUUUAAAAUUUGACAUAAUUGGGAAAUUGAUAGAUUUAAAUAUAUUUUUGCAAAGUUUUUUGCAUCUUGGUAUGGUUGGGCUCCAGUAUGGAGCCCUCUUAUGUAGAAUUAUUGACUUGUUACAUAAUUUUGGAUUUAUUAUUAUAUAUGCUAGGUGAAAUAAUAAAUGUAGAUAGUGAAAUUCUGAUUUUAAAGGACUUUCACAGCUCAGGUAUUAAGAGAUCUCAUUCAGUAUAUGUAGUGAUGUUUCCUCACUAUCUAAUGAAUUGUAUCAAGCUUUUCAUGAAUCUUGAAGCUAUUUCCUAGUUAACUCAAUUUUCAUUCUUUCAAAGAAAGAAAUCCUCCAUUGGUCUUGAAUAUGUAUCCAAAAUAAAGCAUAGGUUUUGAGAUUGUCUUAUUCCGUUACUUUAUAGUAGUUGACAGAUGUAUGUCAAUUGGAUUUUGACAUUUCUCUCUGAGUUACCAGUUUGUUUCCUGUAUUUACAUUAUUUAGGAAGGAAGGAGAAAAGGAUAGCAUAGAUGCCAGUUUCCUGCUUGUGAUCCUACACUUAUCAGAUAUGUUGAGCAACUGGAGAAUAAGAACAGGCAGAUGGUACUUCACUUUACCCCAGCUGCAUUCCUGACUCUGUGGGAGUUUUAAAGGCACUCUGUGAUUAUUAGUGGCAAUAUGGGAUGGUGAGGACUGAGAGAGCCCCCUCACCAACCUAAAAUUUAGUUUUCAGAAUCUAAAGCUUCUCCACAGGUAAUCAUGAAUAUUAAUUUGCCCAGUUUUGGGGUGGUCAGACAUAGGUUUUUGGAUCCUAGAGAUCAUUUUGUUUAGACUCUCUGGUAUUGAGCAGUUUAAGUUCCUUGCUCAGAUCACUUAUUUCUUAAUUCCACAGAUCUCGGAGGCCAGUUUGUUAAGUACUAUAUUAGAUUAAAGGGUAAAAACAUUUCUGAGACCUGAGUUUAGUGGUGAGUGUAUAUUUGUAAAAUAAUAAUAUUCAAAUAUUGUGCUAAGUGGUAUAAUAAUUGUUGUAAAAAGUACCCCCCUCCUGUUUAUUUUUGGCUCUCUUUCCCUGCACCCUGACUUUUGCCUGUUGUUUGCCUUUAUAGUUUCCAGAAUGCUGCCUCAAGGCCUUCACACAUGCUCUUCCUCUCUGAUGAUACUUUUUGUCUAAUCUGCUGUUACUGAUGUUCAAUUUUUGCGUAACUAUCUUUUCAAGGAAAAAAUUCCCUUUGCUUCUCUCACCUUAGGUUAGGCUUCCAUUUUAUAUAUUUGAGACAUCAUCCUGAAUCUUAUCACACUUAAACAUUGUUGAGGUAAUUAUUGGGCAUUCCAUAUCUCUGUUGGAUUAUAGCUGCAAGAAAGGAAAAAAUCUUGUUUAUCUUGCUUGGGAUAAUUUCUACAGUUCUCAGCACAGUGUGUGGCAUGUAGAACAUAAUUAUAACUCAUCAAAUAUCUUUUGAAUAAAUGAAUGUAUGAAUGAGCACAGAGCCAGUAGCAACAAAGGGAGUGUUUGAAAGGGAGUACACCUGUGAAAGGGAGUGGCAUUUGAAGUAACCUUGUUAGGAGUCACAGAAGUCCUAUGUGAUCUAGGUUCUGAAGGUGGAGUGAAAUUUCACCAGCUAGAGAAGGAAUUAAACGGCACAGUUGGAUACACAAAAGUAUAGGCUUAUGAAAGGUAAAAGAGGUCUCAUAUGCCCUUUUAAUGGUAAAGUUGUCUUUAUAUAUACUCAUAUUUGGUUCUGGCAGGUCAGAGGAAGAACUGGGAUAGUGAAAGAUUGCAGGCAAGUCACUAAGUAAGGAGGUGUUUAACAGUAGUCCAAGGAAUAGGAAAUAGGACCUGAACUCAUGCAGUAUCAAUCUAUCAGUCAGGAUGUAUAGAACAGGAAACAGGUAUAAUUUAGCUAAUUUUACCUAAAAGGUGUUUAAAGAAUAAGAUACUUAAAAAAAUCACUGGAAGAACUGGAGGAGGUAAAAUCAGGGAGGUACUCACUGCUGGACUUUUGCUUUCAAGGUCACACAUACUCUGCUACAACUGUUGCCCCAGUACCUAGACUUCUUCUCAUUCAAAAAAUUGGUGAGCUGAUGGGUGAAGAAGGACUGUGGUUGCUAUAAGCACUUGAUUGCUGUUAGUAAUUUUUGUCUGUAUGGCCUGUGCCACACUUACGCUUUCCAUGUGCAAAUAAUUGACAAAACUUAAUGAUUCCAACAGCUUGCUUUCUAGGGUGUCUUUUAACUUUCUAACCUCUUCAAAAAGUAGACAUGUGUAGAGACUGGUUGUGAGAGCCAGUCCUAGGUAGAGCCUACCACAGGCAGUGAGGAUAGAGACUAUUUUUUUCAUUGCAUUCAUUAUUUUAGAGUUGUUAUAUGAACUAUUUGAAAUUCUUAAUUAAAAAUAAAGUUUACCUCAAGGAACUAAUGUUUAUGAUGUUGAUGCUUGCCAGGUAAAUUAUUUUUAACAAAAGUCUGAUUAUAAUUCAUCUCAAGAAAUUUGUCAUUCUAAAAGUUCUUACAAAAUGUAAAUUUCAGCUGAUGGAUCUAUUGUUCUUGUAAUUCUGCCUAUUUUUGAGGUUUUCUCUGAAGAUUGUAUGCCCUGAUGUCAGAGCUUGAAUGGAAACCACUGUUUUCUCUCUGACUUAUCAGUUUAAAACUUGGAUUAUAUGUUGCUUCCCUUCUUUGUCUUCUAAUUAUUCUUUGUCUUCUUCUUUUUUAAGAUUAUAAUAUUCUUUCAUUUUUGACUUCAUUAAUGAGAUUUAUAUUUCCUUAAUUCUUCUGUAUGAGAUAUACAUAAUUGUUCAAGUCAUUGGGACUUGAACCCAUGAUUUUGUUAAGGCAAAGUAAAAUAUUUGAUAUUCUAAUUAUAUACUUAAAAACUCAAACCUUUUUCUUACUAUUGGUUUUUCCACUGGAUAGAACCAAGCUGUUUUCUUGCCUUUUUUUUCAAUUUUCUCAAUGAAAGAAGAUCAAAGAAACUUGGAGGUCAUUUUAUUUAAGUUAUAUAACUAUUAUGAGAGGUGUUAAUGCCUUAUAUUCUGACCACUGUAAAGAGUUUGAUUUAACAUACUUUUGUUGGUAAAUCAAUGUAUUAGUUUUCUAUUGUUAUAACAACCUGAGCUGUAUACUUUAUAUUAAAAAAAGAGGUUUAUUUACUUCAUAGUUUUGGAGGCUGAGGGUUCCAGCAGCUGGUGCUGGCUCCAAUAGGGUCCCCCCUGGCUGUAUCACAUCGUGAUGGAUGACAUUAUGGUGGAAAUGCAUGUGCAAGGGAGAGAUCAAAUGGUAAAAUAAUUAAGCCAGAGAGUAGGAGGGGCCAGGCUCACUCUUUCUCUUGGGAACUAACCAGAAUCCUAUAAGAACUAUCCUAAACCCUUCUAAGUGCCUCAGAUGACCUGACACCUUCCAGUAGGGUUCACUUUCUUUUUUUUUUUUAACUUUAUUUUAUUUUAUUUUCUUCUUAUUAUUAGUUGUUCAAAACAUUACAAAACUCUUGACAUAUCAUAUUUCAUACAUUUGAUUCAAGUGGAUUAUGAACUCCCAUUUUUACCCCGUAUACAGAUUGCUGAAUCACAUCGGUUACAUAUCCACGUUUUUACAUCCUGCCAUACUAGUGUCUGUUGUAUUCUGCUGCCCUUCCUAUCCUCUACUAUCCCCACUCCCCUCCCAUCUUCUCUCUCUACCCCAUCUACUGUAAUUCAUUUGUCUCUCUUGUUUUUUUUUUUUCCCUUUCCCCUCACAUCCUCUUAUAUGUAAUUUUGUAUAACAGUGAGGGUCUCCUUCCAUUUCCAUGCAGUUUCCCUUCUCUCUCCCUUUCCCUCCCACCUCUCAUCCCUGUUUAAUGGCAAUCUUCUUCUCAUGCUCUUCCUCCCUACUCUGUUCUUAGUUGCCCUCCUUAUAUCAAAGAAGACAUUUGGCAUUUGUUUUUUAGGGAUUGGCUAGCUUCACUUAGCAUAAUCUGCUCUAAUGCCAUCCAUUUCCCUGCAGAUGCCAUGAUUUUGUCAUUUUUUAGUGCAGAGUAAUACUCCAUUGUGUAUAAAUGCCACAUUUUUUUUUUAUCCAUUCAUCUAUUGAAGGGCAUCUAGGUUGGUUCCACAGUCUAGCUAUUGUGAAUUGUGCUGCUAUGAACAUCAAUGUAGCUGUAUCUCUAUAGUAGUGUCUUUUAAGGUCUUUGGGGAAUAGUCCGAGAAGGGGAAUAGCUGGGUCAAAUGGUGGUUCCAUUCCCAGCUUUCUGAGGAAUCUCCAUACUGCUUUCCAAAUUGGCUGCACCAAUCUGCAGUCCCACCAGCAAUGUACAAGUGUACCCUUUUCCCCACAUCCUCGCCAGCACUUGUUGUUGUUUGACUUCAUAAUGGUUGCCAUUCUUACUGGAGUGAGAUGGUAUCUUAGGGUGGUUUUAAUUUGCAUUUCUCUGACUGCUAGCUCUGUGAACCAUUUUUUCAUGUACUUGUUGAUUGAUUGUAUGUCCUCCUCUGAGAAGUGUCUGUUCAGGUCCUUGGCCCAUUUGUUGAUUGGGUUAUUUGUUUUCUUAUUGUUUAAUUUUUUGAGUUCUUUAUAUACUCUGGAUAUUAGGGCUCUAUCUGAAGUGUGAGGAAUAAAAAUUUGUUCCCAGGAUGUAGGCUCCCUAUUUACCUCUCUUAUUGUUUCUCUUGCUGAGAAAAAAACUUUUUAGUUUGAGUAAGUCCCAUUUGUUGAUUCUUAUUUUUAACUCUUGUGCUAUGGGUGUCCUAUUAAGGAAUUUGGAGCCCGACCCCACAAUAUGUAGAUUAGAGCCAACUUUUUCAUCUAUCAGAAGCAGAGUCUCUGUUUUGAUAACAAGCUCCUUGAUCCAUUUUGAGUUAACUUUUCCACAUCCAAACCAUAGCAUAGCCCUAUAAAAAUUAAGUUCUGUAUUAGAGACUGUUGUGUGUAUAAAAAAAGUUUUAAGUGUGGACCUCAAGCCAUUAAGCAAUCUCAAUAGACAUGAAAUAGUUAUAAGUUAACUCCACAUCUAUGGUAGACUGGUAGAUUCAUUAGAAGUUUAGAGGUGGAAUAGAUCUCUAACUAUGGGAUUAAAAGUAAUAACAUCACUUAUACAUGCAUCAAUUAUGUGUGUGUAUAUAUAUAUAUAUAUAUAUAUAUAUAUAUAUACAUACAUAUAUAUAUAUAUAUAUUUUUUUUUGCAGGGGAUACUGUGAAUACAUAUAUUAACUUAUUCUCAAAAUAACCUUUUGAGGUGGGUGCUACUGUCAUCCUGUUUUACUGUUUAGGAAACAGGCAGAGAGAGUAUAACUCUCUCAAUGUUACGUAGCUAAGAAGUGGUAGAUCAGGAAUUUUUUCAUUAUAAAAAUGGUUAACUUUUAUAUUUCAAGUCCUUUUCUAGGAGGUGGGGAUUAAAGAAGGGAACAGGUAAAGGGCCAUGCUGUAAAGGAUCUACUAAUCUAUUAGUGUGCAGAAAGGAGUUGACAUACCCAGGUCUAUAAGGUUGGGCCUUGGCUUACAUCUGGAAACUUGAAUUUGAGAUGGUCCUUUCACCCUAAUAAGAGUUUGUCUUUGUACCCAAACUGUUUGCAUAAACAAUGUGAUUUUGCUGAAUACUUUUUUUCUGGGAGUGUGGAAUUUGCAAAUGUACGAGUAUUACUUGACUUCGUGAUAAAACUUUAGGCACUGAGUCUCUUAGUUGGGAGUACUUUACACAUGUUGCCACAACUCACUGCUGGGAAAAUUAAGUAUGUCUAAUAAAAUCCUACUGGGAGAGAACAAUUAGAUGCUUCCUCCUGUUUUCUCCUGGACUUUGCUUCAUAUUCAUUUUACCUUUGCUUAUUGUGCUUAGUAUCUUUUUGCUGUAAUAAACCAUAACCAGGUAUACAACUAUAUGUUGAGUCUUCUGAAUCCUCUUAGCAAGUUGCUGAACCUGAGGGUGGUCUUGGGGACCUCCCAACAUUAUUGGUAGUAUAUAUUUUCUUUCUUUAUUGUCCAGGACAUGUUGAAGUCUAAGCAUAUUUUGGCUGGCUCUGGAACCUAGCCUACUCACAAGGGUACAGCCUAGAAGAGCAGUUUUGAAUAGUAGAGGCUCUUCCUACUUUACUGAAAAGAAAUAAGGGUGGAAAUCUGAACUAUAGAAUAAGGAUUUGGAGACCCAAGCGAUCUAGUGCAAGAGCCUAUGCUGUUAACCAUAUCUGAUGCAAUGCUAGUUAAAAAAUAUUUUUUGUUGUUGAAAGUUCAUGAUGUAAGAUAUUGUUGUUGGAAAGACUUAUCUCUUCAUACUAACUUAAAAUAUUUCCAGAGAGAUAUUGCGAAGUGUGUUCACAUAUGUUUGCAUAUGUAUGUGCCCAUUCCUGACCCAUAUGCAAAUUCCAGACUCCCAGGAAAAAAAGCAGGUAUUCAGCAAAAAACACCUUAUUUAUGCACAGUGAGAGACUCAUUGUUUAUCAUAUUGCCAAGUGUGUUUAAAUGUGAAAAAUGUCUUCAUUUAAAUUUAUCUCUGCAUUUAAUAGGAGAACCACCAUAACUUCAAAAUACCAGUUUAAACAAACUGAAAUUUUUGUCUGACCAUUAAACUUUAUUUAUAAAUUGAGCCUACAGACAAAUACUUGAAUGUUUAAUUUUUGUCUUCCAUAUAACUUUUUUUUUCCAUUAUGACUUUAAGAUCAGGUACUGGUCAUUUACCUCUGCUUUUUUGAACCAUAGAAACAACAUGAUAGAAUUGAAAAAGCACUGGCCCGGUUUAAGUUGGUAAAAUUAGGUUUGAAUUCCAGCUUUGCCUCUGACUUGCUUAGUAAUCAGUUGUCCCUGUCUUUUUUCAUCCUUACUCCAAUUAAUUAUUUUAACUCUGUUAUAGUCUGUGCUCUUUCUUGAAUCCUAUACCUUGUGUCAUAUCUAUGCUGGUAUUUACUGUAAUUCUUAAUUUAAAAAUUCUGUUAUUAAGGGUUUGUAUUUUUGAGAUCUUAUUGAAGUCUGAGUCAUGAUCAUUUCUUUAUACAUUUUUAAGGUUUUCACUGAUAAUUUAGGUCUUACUGAGCAAAUUUACCUGGUAUUAUUUUUAAUUAUCUCAAGCCAUUUUAUAUAACUCACAGAAAUAUUUAUUACAGAUUUCUGUUUGAAACUUUUUUACUGUAAUGCUUUCUUGAAGUAAUUAGAGUAAAAGCAAAGAAACCUCCACCACUUUAAGUUGACUAAUAAAGUCAAGACUCCCUUUUAUUCACUGUUUUUUAAGAAAAAACCUGUAGGUAUAUUAAAUUUUUGAUCACCUGUUGUACAUUUAUCAGUGACAGCAUUUUCUACAUGUUGUGUUAGGUAGAGCCAUGUUUAAGUAAAAUUUUAGUACCACAUAGAAGUGAUUUUAGAAUUAUUUCACAUAAACCUUAGAUAAAGCUAUUGGAAACAUGUUGAUUUUAUGUUCACAUGUAUUUCAAAUAGAACAUGUAGGGACUUAAGGGCCGAAUAGGAAGAGAAUUAUAAACUUUCUAGUAGUCUUCAUACUGCUUCCCUUUACUCCCUUAACCAAUUUUUGGUCUAAAUUUCACAAGAGAUCUAAGUGAUUAACAUUAUGUGAUUAUGAUAAAUCUUUAGGUAUCUGUCAUUGGUCUUUUGUAAAGAGUGCAUUUUAAGGACCAGUGGUAAGUUAAAAUUGAAACAUAAAAAUAAAGAAUUUGGUGGGAAAUCAUACUUAGGAUAGCUUUGUCUUCCAAUAUAAAAAGAAUCAUAAAAAUUACGAUUUAGUCUAGAUGUUGCUUGAUUCAUACCUAGUACUACUGACUUCCUGAUAAAAGUUUAGGCACUGAGUCUCUUGGUUGGAAGUACUUUACACGUGUUGCCACAAUCAGUGCUGGGAGAAUUAAGUGUGUCUAGUACAAUCCUACUGGGAGAGAACAAUUGGAUGCUUCCUCCUGUUUUCUCCUGGACUUUGCUUCAUAUUCCUUUUACCUUUGCUUAUUGUGCUUAGUAUCUUUUUGCUGUAGUAAACCAUAACCAUAACCAAAAGUUGCUUUUGGUGUCAAAUAGUGGUUGUGCAUGAUGCCAUUAAGCUAGCAGAAUUAAUGUUUACUGAAGUGAAUUGAUCAUCACUGUUGUAUUCAUUUUCUAUUGCUGUUAUAAAUGUUUUCCAUAAACUUAAUGGUUUAAAACAAUACAAGUUAUCACUUACAGUGCUGGAAUUUAGAGUCCAAAAUGAGUCUGAUUGAGCUAAAAGCAACAUUUUCAUACCCCUUUUUCUGGAGACUUUAUGGAAGAAUCUGUUUCUUUACCUUUUCCAGCUUCUAGAGACCAGCUGCAUACCUUGGCUUGUGGCUCUUCUGUUCAUCUUCAAAGCCAGCAGUGUGUCAUCUUUAGUCCCCUACUCUCCAAUAUCUUUCAUCAUAAUAUUUUUUCUGGCACAAUUACUUUGGGUUUACCUGGAUAAUCUAAGAUAAUAUUGCCAUCAGUGUACUUAAUUCAUUCAGAGUGAUUACAGUGGUUAGAACAUGAACAUCUUAGGGCUGUUGUUCUGCCUACUACAAGUAGAUUAGUGAUCAAAGUUGUAUAUUGAACUUAGAAUUUUAAUUUUUUCUUUUGAGAUGGUGUUGCUCAGGCUGCCCUUGAGCUUAUGAUCCUCUUGCCUCAGCUUCCUGAGUAGCUGGGAUUACAGGUGUGUACCACUGUGCAUGGCUUUUAAACUUAUAUUUUUAUGAAAGGUACCUGCUUUGGAUAUGUUUAAGAAGGUAUAGGAUAGAAAUGAAUACAAUUUUAAUUGAGUAUUCUAGUAGGAAUUUAAAAAUAUAUGCAUGCUAGCAUAAUUUAUUAGUCUCUUUGCAGUAUGAUCAUUUAUAUAGAAAACCCAAGAAAUUUAUUAAAAAACCUUUUAGAACCAAUAAUUGUAUUUGUCAAGGUUGUAGAAAUCAAGGUGAGUGUAGAAAUAUUUACUAUUUCUAUACACUAACAAAUAAUUGGAAGUUGAAAUAAAAAUUGGCAUUUAUGGCAUAAAAUAUAAAAAUUUAAGUGGGCUGGAUUGUGGCUCAGUGGUAGAGCACUUACCUUGCAUGCAUGAGGCACUGGAUUCCAUUCUUAGCAUCACAUAAAAAUAAAUAAAUAAUUGAAAAAAAAAAUCCCUGUUCAUAUUUAAAAAAAAUAUAAAAACUUGAGGAUAAAUUUAGCAAAGUGUGUGUAAGACCUAUACACUGAAAACUACAAAAGAUUCCGGAGAGAAAUUAAAGAGUCCCUAAAGAAAUGAAGAUAUAUACCAUGUUCAUGGAUUAGAAGACUCAAAAAUUUAAAGAUGUCAGUUCUUUUCAACUGACUCUCUGGAUUCAAUAUGAUCUAGUCAAAACCUUAGAAGAAUUUUGUUGUAUUUUAUCAAUUAACACAUUGGUUCUGUAGUUUUUAAUGAAAUGUGGAGAACACCCCUGCAACAUCAAAACAAUUUUGAAAAGUUAUAUUUGAGGUCUUAUGGAAACUGACUUCUGUAAUUAUUAAAAAGCUAUAGUUAUCAAGACAGUGUGGUGUUGGUGUCAAGACAUAUUCAGAUCAGUGGUGUUCUGAAAAUAGACUCACAUAUAUGGUCAUUUAUAUAAACAGAAAUAUCAAGGUAAUUCAGUGAGGGAAAGGGUAAUAUUUUCAACAUUGACUAAAUGUACCUUCAAUCUUACCUCAGAAUCUUACCUUGAAUCUUAACACAAAAGUUAAUUUGAAAUGAAUCAUAAAACUAAACUUAAGAGCAAAAACUACAAAACUUUUAGAAGAGACUGUUAGAGAAUUUUGGGGACCAUGAACAAGGAAAAGGUUUUUUUGGAUAGGACACAAAUGUACAUUUUGUAAAUACACAACUGUGAAAAUGGACUUAAUUAAAAACUUUUGCUCUUCAAGUGUUUUAGUUAUUUUUUUUACUCCUAUGACCCUAAAACCUGACAAAAACAAUUUUAGAAGAAGAAAAGUUUGUUUUGGGGCUUAUGGUUUCAGUGGUCUCAGUCCAUAAGCAGGUGGCUCAAUUCCUCAAGGUUGGAGGUGAGGCAGAACAUUAUGGUAAAAGUGUGGUAGAGGAAAGUGACUCAGGGCAUGAUGAUUGGGAACCAGAGAGGGACUAAACUCAGCUCACAAAAUAUGUACCCCAAAAGCAUGCUCCCAGUGACCGCCUCCUCCAGCCACACUACCUGCCUAUAGUUACCAACCAAUUAAUUAAUUUCUAUCAGUGGAUUAAUGUAUUGAUUAGAUUAAGGCUCAUCUAACCCAAUUUCACUGUUGAGCUUUCUUGCACUGUCUCACACAUGAGCAUUUGGGGGAUACCUAAUAUCUAAACCAUAACAAAAAUACACUUAAGAAAACAAAAAGGAAAAUUAUAGAUUGGGAGCAAAUAUAUCUGAUAAGGACUUUUGCUCAGAAUAUAUUUAAAUAAAUACUAUAAAGCAAUAAAAAAUAAAAUUUGUACUUGAAUGUUUAUAACAGCUUUAUUUAUAAUAGCCACAGAGUGGAAAUAAU